GCCCUUAGAGUUUGAUCAUGGCUCAGAACGAACGCUGGCGGCAGGCUUAACACAUGCAAGUCGAACGAAGUCUUCGGACUUAGUGGCGGACGGGUGAGUAACGCGUGGGAACGUGCCCCUUGGUACGGAAUAGUCCCGGGAAACUGGGUUUAAUACCGUAUAUUCUCUACGGAGGAAAGGUUUAUCGCCAAGAGAUCGGCCCGCGUUGGAUUAGGUAGUUGGUGGGGUAAUGGCCUACCAAGCCCGCGAUCCAUAGCUGGUUUGAGAGGAUGAUCAGCCACACUGGGACUGAGACACGGCCCAGACUCCUACGGGAGGCAGCAGUGGGGAAUCUUAGACAAUGGGGGAAACCCUGAUCUAGCCAUGCCGCGUGAGCGAUGAAGGCCUUAGGGUUGUAAAGCUCUUUCGCUGGGGAAGAUAAUGACGGUACCCAGUAAAGAAGCCCCGGCUAACUCCGUGCCAGCAGCCGCGGUAAUACGGAGGGGGCUAGCGUUGUUCGGAAUUACUGGGCGUAAAGCGCGCGUAGGCGGAUUGGAAAGUUUGGGGGUGAAAUCCCGGGGCUC
This 563-nucleotide ribosomal RNA is filed under the name uncultured Alphaproteobacteria bacterium. Its description in RNAcentral is "bacterial SSU rRNA". It matches the Rfam family "Bacterial small subunit ribosomal RNA", at positions 1 to 610 of the family's 1533-position model. The record is from RNAcentral. Lineage: Bacteria; Pseudomonadati; Pseudomonadota; Alphaproteobacteria.